CAGAAACUUUGUGAUAAUUUCUGUUCCUCCAAAAAGAAUAAGGAAUAUUUCAUGAACAGAAGUAAAGCAGAUUACAAUGUUUUUCAGUAAUUUCCUUAUUCGCUAAGUGUCUCUAACACAACUGUGAAUGUCUUUCAAAGAUUUGAUUUCACUAACCUGGCAAACUUUAGCAAAUCCAGUGCAUCAGCCCAGUGCCUUAUGAACACAACUUAAUUUCCAAGUUCGCCCAAACUUCUGUUAAUGGCAUAGAAGCCAGCCAACCAGAUUGGAAUGGACUAGCUUGUUUUAGACAGCAUUUGGCAGAUAUGUGGCAGUCAGACCGUGGGUGGUCUGUGGGCAUUUAGUCUAAAACUGAAACUACACUUUGUGAGACCCUAUGUUCAUGAAGUAAAUAUUAUCUAGAAGAGUGGAACAGCUGUCAAAAAAAAUAAAAAAACACUUGAAAAUUGUUGUUUGGAAAGUUGUCAUGGCACAAAUAAAAAGGCUAUCGACCUUGUUGGAAACUCAGAAGCGUAGACCAGGAGACUUUUGGGUAAUCUUCUGCAGAAUUCUUUAUUGAGAACGCGCUGGAUGGCGCUGCAGUCAUCAAAAGUCUCACCAAAGCAGUGAUAUUUUGGAGUUUAUAUACAUUUCAAGGGGGAGGGAUACAUAGAGUUGGAGACAAUUUAAACAAAGCAAGCAAAUGGAAUCAGGAAAAUGCCAGACACUGGCAUUUUCCCAGCCUUGAUCUCAUCAGCAUAACAGUGUCAUUUAAAUACAGAGGUGCCUGACAGUAUCACCCAUACCUUCACAUUAUCAUAGAAACAAAGGCACAGCUGUGCCUUGAUCUUAAGAAGCCAGAUGGUCAGGAAGAGCAAACAAAAGGUCAAUAUCUCAGAAACCUGGGCUGUUUGACUUGAUCAUCUCAGAAUGUCAUCAUCUUAACCUCAAAAUGUAAAAACACAAUGUACAUAAUAUUACAUUGGAACCUAGAUUUAACAUUUUAUAAAUCUGUAAUCCCACAACCUAGAACUACAUAGAGAAACAGGAAGUAUAUUUAUUAGGCCUAAAGGGAACAGGGAGGUGAUAUUCUAAAGGUUGACUUUUUCACACAGUCAUGUUCCGCUGGAACUAGGUAGUACUAAUUAUAGUAAGUAUAAAAUUUUGUCAUGUGGCAAGACAAGAUGAAGAAGAAAUGCAAAAGUGCAAUUUGACAAUACUUAAACAAACACUAGACUGGAGAGCCAUGAGCAUCUGCUCACCAAAUCACUCACAUUUCUUUCAGUGAUCACCUAAUGCAUAUAUAGUGGUGGAACUAUGAUGUCAUUUU
Molecule: long non-coding RNA, 1309 nt
Organism: Cyprinus carpio carpio
Lineage: Eukaryota; Metazoa; Chordata; Actinopteri; Cypriniformes; Cyprinidae
Source: Ensembl